GUUGACCUCGAAUCAGGUAGGACUACCCGCUGAACUUAAG
Molecule: ribosomal RNA, 40 nt
Filed under: Beauveria bassiana
Lineage: Eukaryota; Fungi; Ascomycota; Sordariomycetes; Hypocreales; Cordycipitaceae
Description: partial 28S ribosomal RNA
Source: RNAcentral